GUUAUUAAUGCAGCUAGAUUGUUUUUUUAAUCAACUGGAACUGUCAGUUCUGCUCAUCCACGUGUGUUUCAAACCCACAUGUAAACACAAGGACGGUAAUAAGAGGAUCAACUCGAGCAAGAAGCCGGUGUCCCGAGGAGAGGAGCUCAGAGCGAAUUUGGACGAGCUGUGGUUCGGAUGUCCUCGGCAGCAGCAGCAGCAGCACAAAAGGUCCAGAUGAAGGUCCAGAUGACCCGGCUCGGUUACGGUUGAGGACCGGUGUGAAGACUGGAGAUGGAAAAGACAGACGAGAUUGCAAAGAAAGGCUGGAGAUGGAGCUGCUGACGAUGACUGUUGAAUUGAUUGAAGUUUUUAUUGUGUAAAAAAAAGUGAAAAUAAAGAA
Molecule: long non-coding RNA, 382 nt
Organism: Trichomycterus rosablanca
Lineage: Eukaryota; Metazoa; Chordata; Actinopteri; Siluriformes; Trichomycteridae
Exons: 3
Source: RefSeq, a predicted model, not a curated record